RNAcentral lists this long non-coding RNA (484 nucleotides) under Oryzias sinensis (Chinese medaka). RNAcentral's name for it is "lncRNA (ENSOSIG00000014481.1)". The record is from RNAcentral. Lineage: Eukaryota; Metazoa; Chordata; Actinopteri; Beloniformes; Adrianichthyidae.
AUCAGAACCGCCUCCAGAACCAGGCUCAUUUAUUUAUCAAAAACCAAACCAUCAGUCUGAGCAUGAAGCCUCAACUGCUUCAAACUGUUUCAUCAGUUCACCGAUCAGAUAAAAACAUCUAGAAAAACUGCCAUCGCCCCCUACAGGCCACCUGGUGCACUGAGGUCUGUGGACCAGAACCCGUCGAUGGUUUCGGACCAGAGGAGACAGAACCUUCCAGGCUGCUGAGGCGAUUGUUCUAGGCGCUUCAGGAAGGAUGGAACCCUCCACUCCUGACUCUGAACUUCAUCCCAGAACCUCUACAUUAAGGAGGUGCAGGUUUUUCUCCUGGGGAGACCAAAGGGUCCUGAUCAGGUGGAGCAUCCUCACACCCCUGCUGACCCUCUAUCUGUCAUCGGGUUCGAGCCGCUGUCACUGAUCCAUCACUAAGCAGCACAGCAGACGCACUUACGCCUCCUGCAGGUUGGUUCUGCCCCCUGCUGGU